RNAcentral lists this transfer-messenger RNA (402 nucleotides) under Flavobacteriales bacterium. It matches the Rfam family "transfer-messenger RNA". Rfam says of the family: Bacterial tmRNA, also known as 10Sa RNA or SsrA, is named for its dual tRNA and mRNA-like properties. Lineage: Bacteria; Pseudomonadati; Bacteroidota; Flavobacteriia; Flavobacteriales. The record is from RNAcentral.
GGGGCCGACCUGGCUUUGACAGCGUGUCGAUUCCCACUUGUAAGCAUGCAGAGCUUUGGAUGGCGGCUCUUAAAUCUCGAUGUCCAAGCCGUAAUUGGCGACAACAACUACGCACUCGCUGCAUAAUCGGUCUAAGACCGAUCAUCUUAAUCCACGUUACUAGGUAACGGGACGAGUUGCCCGGGUGAUGGCUUCUGUCUUGCUGCUUUCACUGAUCGGGUAUCGUUGAGUAAGACUAGGGACCCGACUCGCUCUUAGGAAGGACCGAAGAAGUAAUGAGAUAAGCCUAUGAUAGGUAGCCUCUCACCAGGCAUAGGACGAAAACCCAAUAUGAGGAUAAGCAUGUAGAAGUCACGUGAGAUUCACGUUUGGACGGGGGUUCGACUCCCCCCGGCUCCACCU